AGUGAAUGCUGGCGGUAGGCCUAACACAUGCAAGUCGAACGGCGGCACAGUAAGAGCUUGCUCUUACGGGUGGCGAGUGGCGGACGGGUGAGGGAUACAUCGGAAUCUACUUUUUCGUGGGGGAUAACGUAGGGAAACUUACGCUAAUACCGCAUACGACCUACGGGUGAAAGCAGGGGAUCUUCGGACCUUGCGCGAUUGAAUGAGCCGAUGUCGGAUUAGCUAGUUGGCGGGGUAAAGGCCCACCAAGGCGACGAUCCGUAGCUGGUCUGAGAGGAUGAUCAGCCACACUGGAACUGAGACACGGUCCAGACUCCUACGGGAGGCAGCAGUGGGGAAUAUUGGACAAUGGGCGCAAGCCUGAUCCAGCCAUACCGCGUGGGUGAAGAAGGCCUUCGGGUUGUAAAGCCCUUUUGUUGGGAAAGAAAAGCAGCAGGUUAAUACCCCGCUGUUCUGACGGUACCCAAAGAACAAGCACCGGCUAACUUCGUG
This 492-nucleotide ribosomal RNA is filed under the name uncultured bacterium. RNAcentral's name for it is "partial 16S ribosomal RNA". It matches the Rfam family "Bacterial small subunit ribosomal RNA", at positions 29 to 507 of the family's 1533-position model. The record is from RNAcentral.